This 274-nucleotide ribosomal RNA is filed under the name uncultured bacterium. RNAcentral describes it as "partial 16S ribosomal RNA". It matches the Rfam family "Bacterial small subunit ribosomal RNA", at positions 523 to 796 of the family's 1533-position model. The record is from RNAcentral.
GUACGGAGGGUGCAAGCGUUAUCCGGAUUCAUUGGGUUUAAAGGGUGCGCAGGCGGAAUGAUAAGUCAGUGGUGAAAUCCUACAGCUUAACUGUAGAACUGCCAUUGAUACUGUCAUUCUUGAGUACACUUGAAGUGGGCGGAAUGUAUCAUGUAGCGGUGAAAUGCAUAGAUAUGAUACAGAACUCCGAUAGCGAAGGCAGCUCACUAAAUUGUAACUGACGCUCAGGCACGAAAGCGUGGGGAGCAAACAGGAUUAGAAACCCCAGUAGUCC